This 72-nucleotide transfer RNA is filed under the name Ovis aries (sheep). It matches the Rfam family "tRNA". From Rfam's summary of the family: Transfer RNA (tRNA) molecules are approximately 80 nucleotides in length. Their secondary structure includes four short double-helical elements and three loops (D, anti-codon, and T loops). Further hydrogen bonds mediate the characteristic L-shaped molecular structure. tRNAs have two regions of fundamental functional importance: the anti-codon, which is responsible for specific mRNA codon recognition, and the 3' end, to which the tRNAs corresponding amino acid is attached (by aminoacyl-tRNA synthetases). tRNAs cope with the degeneracy of the genetic code in two manners: having more than one tRNA (with a specific anti-codon) for a particular amino acid; and 'wobble' base-pairing, i.e. permitting non-standard base-pairing at the 3rd anti-codon position. The record is from Rfam by way of RNAcentral. Lineage: Eukaryota; Metazoa; Chordata; Mammalia; Artiodactyla; Bovidae.
UCCCUGGUGGCUCAGACGGUAAAGCAUCUGCCUGCAAUGUGGGAGACCCGGGUUCGAUUCCUGGGUCGGGAA